RNAcentral lists this ribosomal RNA (1737 nucleotides) under Triticum aestivum (bread wheat). RNAcentral's name for it is "partial small subunit ribosomal RNA". Lineage: Eukaryota; Viridiplantae; Streptophyta; Magnoliopsida; Poales; Poaceae. The record is from RNAcentral.
AUGUUGGUGCUGUUCGAGACGCCCGCUGGGUUCGCCCUUUUCAAGGUUCUGAACGAGGGCAAGCUCGACAAGGUCGAGGAUCUAUGGAAGGAGUUCACGACGUCGGACAGGGCGAGAAAGGUGGUUGAGCUGAAAGCUUUCAACAAGUUUGAGAACACAUCUGAUGCCCUUUCUGCUGCAACCCUGAUUAUUGAUAGCAAGCCUACCAAGGGUUUGCGCAAGUUCUUGCAGAAGCAUUGCGACGGUGAAACUUUAGCUAUUGCUGAUUCUAAACUUGGAAAUGCUAUAAAAGAGAAGCUGAAAAUUGACUGCGUUCACAACAGUGCUGUGAUGGAGCUGAUGACAGGGCUGAGAAAUCAGCUUAGUGAGCUUAUAUCUGGGUUGGGCACACAGGACCUUGGUCCAAUGAGCCUGGGAUUGUCCCACAGCUUGUCUAGAUAUAAGCUAAAGUUCAGUCCUGAAAAGGUUGAUACCAUGAUCAUUCAGGCCAUUGGCUUAUUGGAUGAUCUUGACAAGGAGCUUAACACAUAUGCAAUGAGGGUUCGCGAAUGGUAUGGUUGGCACUUCCCAGAGCUCACUAAGAUAGUGACAGAUAAUAUACAGUAUGCAAAAGUUGUGAAGUUGAUGGGCAAUAGGACUCAUGCGGUCAACCUUGAUUUCUCGGAGAUACUGACAGAUGACGAGGUAGAAGCACAGUUAAAGGAGGCUGCAGUAAUAUCCAUGGGAACAGAAGUUAAUGAUCUUGAUUUAUCAAACAUUAGGGAACUUUGUGAUCAAGUCUUGGCUCUUUCUGAGUAUAGAGCUCAGCUGUAUGAUUAUCUGAAAAGUAGGAUGAACACAAUUGCACCAAAUUUGACUUCACUUGUGGGCGAACUUGUUGGUGCUAGACUUAUUUCACAUGGUGGCAGCCUUGUAAAUUUGGCCAAGCAGCCUGGUAGCACCAUUCAGAUACUUGGUGCAGAGAAGGCUUUAUUCAGAGCUCUGAAGACAAAACAUGCUACACCUAAGUAUGGCCUCAUCUACCAUGCAUCCUUAAUUGGUCAGGCAUCCAAGCACAAGGGAAAGAUUUCUCGUUCUCUAGCUUCAAAAGCCGCUCUUGCCAUCCGAUAUGAUGCCCUUGGUGAUGGUGAAGAUAACUCCCUUGGUCUUGAGAGUCGACUGAAGCUUGAAACACGGCUUCGGGUUCUCGAGGGUAAAGAACUAGGGAGAUCUGUUGGUUCCACGAAGGGAAAGCCCAAGAUAGAAGUAUACGAAAAAGACAGGAAGAACGGUGUUGGGUUAAUUACUCCUGCUAAGACGUACAAUCCUUCGGCUGAUCUGGUUCUUGCACAAUCCACCGAAGAAACUCCAAAGAAGCUUGAUGUGGCUUCAAAGAAGAGGAAACAUGAUGAUGCGGAGACUGCACCAUCAACUGAGCCUGCUGGGGAAGCAAUUCAAGAGGAUGGUGGCCAGGAGGGCCGGAAGAAAAAGAAAAAAAAGUCCAAGGAUGUUGAGGAGUCUCCUACAGUUGAUGCGAAGAGUGACAAGAAAAAGAAAAAGAAAUCCAAGGAGACAGAGGAGCCUGGCGUGGCCACUGCUGAAGGUGAGAAGAAGAAAAAGGAAAGUGAAGCACAAGAUGAGGUUGUUGCCAUGGAAACCGAGUCUGGUAAAAAGGAUAAGAGGAAAAAGAAAAAGCAGGCUGAUGGAUGCGCUGUUCCCCAGAGGAGAAGGGAAGCAAAGCCGAGUCAUUUUGCGUAG